Long non-coding RNA from Etheostoma cragini (Arkansas darter), 137 nucleotides. RefSeq lists it as uncharacterized. The record is from RefSeq and is a predicted model, not a curated record. The transcript has 3 exons. Lineage: Eukaryota; Metazoa; Chordata; Actinopteri; Perciformes; Percidae.
AACGUUUCAUCUCAUAUCCGCAAGUCCAAGAAGGAUGUAGCUACCAGUACAGCCCAACUUGAAUAUAUUCCCAACUAUUUUUAUGGGGGACAGGAAAGGGAGCUUCAGGCCAAACGGCUAUAAUAUUCAUCCAUGGC